RNAcentral lists this ribosomal RNA (257 nucleotides) under uncultured bacterium. RNAcentral's name for it is "partial 16S ribosomal RNA". It matches the Rfam family "Bacterial small subunit ribosomal RNA", at positions 335 to 610 of the family's 1533-position model. The record is from RNAcentral.
GGCCUACGGGGCGCAGCAGUGGGGAAUAUUGCACAAUGGGGGAAACCCUGAUGCAGCGACGCCGCGUGAGCGAUGAAGUAUUUCGGUAUGUAAAGCUCUAUCAGCAGGGAAGAAAAUGACGGUACCUGACUAAGAAGCCCCGGCUAACUACGUGCCAGCAGCCGCGGUAAUACGUAGGGGGCAAGCGUUAUCCGGAUUUACUGGGUGUAAAGGGAGCGUAUACGGCGGCGCAAGCCAGAUGUGAAAGCGUGGGGUUC